This 439-nucleotide ribosomal RNA is filed under the name uncultured bacterium. Its description in RNAcentral is "partial 16S ribosomal RNA". It matches the Rfam family "Bacterial small subunit ribosomal RNA", at positions 338 to 795 of the family's 1533-position model. The record is from RNAcentral.
CCUACGGGUGGCAGCAGUGGGGAAUAUUGCACAAUGGGGGAAACCCUGAUGCAGCGACGCCGCGUGCGUGAAGAAGUAUCUCGGUACGGAAAGCUCUAUUAGCAGGGAAGAAAAUGACGGUACCUGACUAAGAAGCCCCGGCUAACUACGUGCCAGCAGCCGCGGUAAUACGUAGGGGGCAAGGGUAAUCCGGAUUUACUGGGUGUAAGGGGGGCGUAGACGGCAGCACAAGUCUGGAGUGAAAUCCCGGGGCUUAACCCGGAACUGCUUUGGAAACUGUGCGGCUGGAGUGCAGGAGGGGUAAGCGGAAUUCCUAGUGUAGCGGUGAAAUGCGUAGAUAUUAGGAGGAACACCGGUGGCGAAGGCGGCUUACUAGACUGUAACUGACGUUGAGGCUCGAAAGCGUGGGGAGCAAACAGGAUUAGAUACCCGUGUAGUC